RNAcentral lists this ribosomal RNA (564 nucleotides) under Exserohilum sp. D3-6A1-1. RNAcentral describes it as "eukaryotic LSU rRNA". The stretch from base 185 to 338 matches the Rfam family "5.8S ribosomal RNA". The record is from RNAcentral. Lineage: Eukaryota; Fungi; Ascomycota; Dothideomycetes; Pleosporales; Pleosporaceae.
UCAUUACACAACAAAAAUAUGAGGGUGUGGUUUGCUGGCAACAGCGUCCGCCCCAAGUAUUUUUCACCCAUGUCUUUUGCGCACUUUUUGUUUCCUGGGCGAGUUCGCUCGCCACCAGGACCCAACCAUAAACCUUUUUUUAUGCAGUUGCAAUCAGCGUCAGUAUAAUAAUUCAAUUUAUUAAAACUUUCAACAACGGAUCUCUUGGUUCUGGCAUCGAUGAAGAACGCAGCGAAAUGCGAUACGUAGUGUGAAUUGCAGAAUUCAGUGAAUCAUCGAAUCUUUGAACGCACAUUGCGCCCUUUGGUAUUCCAAAGGGCAUGCCUGUUCGAGCGUCAUUUGUACCCUCAAGCUUUGCUUGGUGUUGGGCGUCUUUUUGUCUCUCCCCUUGUUGGGGGAGACUCGCCUUAAAACGAUUGGCAGCCGACCUACUGGUUUUCGGAGCGCAGCACAAAUUUGCGCCUUCCAAUCCACGGGGCGGCAUCCAGCAAGCCUUUGUUUUCUAUAACAAAUCCACAUUUUGACCUCGGAUCAGGUAGGGAUACCCGCUGAACUUAAGCAUAU